This 223-nucleotide ribosomal RNA is filed under the name uncultured bacterium. Its description in RNAcentral is "partial 16S ribosomal RNA". It matches the Rfam family "Bacterial small subunit ribosomal RNA", at positions 15 to 234 of the family's 1533-position model. The record is from RNAcentral.
GAUCAUGGCUCAGGAUGAACGCUAGCGGCAGGCUUAACACAUGCAAGUCGAGGGGCAGCGCGGAGUAGCAAUACUCUGGCGGCGACCGGCGGAAGGGUGCGUAACACGUGAGCGACUUGCCCGUCACAGGGAGAUAACCGCUGGAAACGGCGACUAAUAUCCCAUAUGGUGGCGAUCUGCAUGGAUUGUCAUUGAAAGAUUCAUCGGUGGCGGAUAGGCUCGG